CCUACGGGAGGCAGCAGUGAGGAAUAUUGGUCAAUGGGCGCAAGCCUGAACCAGCCAAGUAGCGUGAAGGAUGACUGCCCUAUGGGUUGUAAACUUCUUUUAUAUGGGAAUAAAGUGCAGUAUGUAUACUGCUUUGCAUGUACCUUAUGAAUAAGGAUCGGCUAACUCCGUGCCAGCAGCCGCGGUAAUACGGAGGAUCCGAGCGUUAUCCGGAUUUAUUGGGUUUAAAGGGAGCGUAGGCGGGUUGUUAAGUCAGUUGUGAAAGUUUGCGGCUCAACCGUAAAAUUGCAGUUGAUACUGGCAGCCUUGAGUACAGUAGAGGUAGGCGGAAUUCGUGGUGUAGCGGUGAAAUGCUUAGAUAUCACGAAGAACUCCGAUUGCGAAGGCAGCCUGCUGGACUGUAACUGACGCUGAUGCUCGAAAGUGUGGGUAUCAAACAGGAUUAGAUACCCCGGUAGUC
This 460-nucleotide ribosomal RNA is filed under the name uncultured bacterium. RNAcentral describes it as "partial 16S ribosomal RNA". It matches the Rfam family "Bacterial small subunit ribosomal RNA", at positions 338 to 795 of the family's 1533-position model. The record is from RNAcentral.